RNAcentral lists this long non-coding RNA (2088 nucleotides) under Mytilus galloprovincialis (Mediterranean mussel). Lineage: Eukaryota; Metazoa; Mollusca; Bivalvia; Mytilida; Mytilidae. The record is from RNAcentral.
UUUAUUAUUUUCGAGGGUGUGUCUUGUUUUGUGGGUUUUCAUUGGUUUGGCGUUUGUUACCCUCAAUCUUGGUCAGAAGACAACUUCCCGUCGGACAAUUUUAAAGAAGCAAAAUAUAUGAUGUUACAUUUGAAACUGUUCUCAAGACCACAUGUACAAGGUAGAUAUUUACUCUUCAUAUUUCCCGAGAUCAUUAUAAUGGUUGUAUGAAUAAGAAUUUUGUUAGUUGAAAAUCCAAACAAUGAUAUAUAUAUAUGAUUGUUACGUCAGAAAAUAAUACAAACAUGGAGUAUCGAAACAAGAUACAGAUAUAUGUUAAUAUUUAUUACACUUAUUUUUGACAACAUACUACCUCCUCUUUAAAGUUAUCAUUUACCGAGUUUGUAAUAACAUGAGAAACACGACGAGUGCCACAUUUGGAGCAGGAUCUGAUUACCCUUCCGAAACACCCGAGAUCACCCUCAGUUUUUAGGGGUUCGUGUUGCCUAGGCUUCCGUUUUCUAUUUUUUGUCUUGUGUUCUGUUGUUUGUCUGUUUAUCUUUAUACAUUUUAGCCAUGGCGUUGUCAGUUUAUUUUCGAUCGUUGAGUCUGGUAUCUUUCAUCCCAAUGUUUCUGUAUCUGACCUCUUUUUUGGUCAGAUACAGAAAAUUAUCUGACGUUGAAUUUUUGAUGAAGUUAUGACUUAGAUAUAAAAUGAAAUAAAUAAAUGUGCCCUCGUGGCUCGAAAUGAUAUUUUGGUAUGUAAUUUCAAAUGUUAAAAAAAAAACGCAAAAUUUCAAAUUACAAUGCUUUCCGAAAAGUCAGAGAUCAAGGCCAAAGUCACCAGUAGAGACCAUCUUCGAGAUUUAAACGUCCUGUGUAUUCACUUAUUCUAUUGAUCAGAAUUUACAAUUUUUAAUAUUUAAGCUAGAAAUUCCACCACAAAUGUAAAGUUAAGGAUGUACGUAGGUCAGGUCAAGGACAUUUGUAAGAUGUUCGGACUACGUUUUUUUCCUACGAUACAGUGUAAAUAUUUUGACUCAUAACAUCCAUUUUUGUCGAGUCUGUGUUUCCGUAUAUUUCUUAUAAAUGGAUUUAAUUUUUCUGUUAAUUAACAUUACAUUCACUCUGUGGUUUAAGUUUAAAAAAACUUAAUAACUUUCUCCAACUAUCCUGGAUUUCUACCAAACUUGGACAGAAGCUUGUUUAUGAUUAACAGCUACUAUCUAGAAAGAAAUUUUGUAGAAAUAUAUUUCCUGUUUUUCCGUUCAUGACAUAUAAAUGGACUUAGUCUGCAAUUAAAGAUUUUAAAACAUUUUUAGAUUAACAAACCAUCCUGGAAUUUUACCUAACUUGGACAGAAGUUUCUUUCUAUCAAAAAAUAGUACAAUGUAUCUAGAGGAACAUUUUAAUAUUUUUUCCCCAUUUGUGUUGAGCCUGCGACUUUUCUUUAAUUUCACUAACUGUAAGUAUAUCAUGUGCAUUCUUCUGUCACUCUGAAAACAUAGACAACAGCAAAAGUUGGCGAGACACCAGGUUCCGCGGAACCCUUACCAAUUUUCUUUUCAUAUAAGACUUCAAUAACUCAUCGAAGGUCAUUUACUAAAAUAUAACCAGAUUCUAAUAGUUUACAUUUACAAAGUGUGACUUGGAUGGAGAGCUGUCUCAUUGGCACUCAUACUACAUUUUCUUUUAUCUAUCUAGAUGUCUUUUCUUUCGAUUUAAGACCCAAAUAAUAAUACCAGACACAAGUUGUUUCGUUUUUCCUUUUUCCUUUUUCGAUAUUCAAAUAAUAAUUAUGCAAAUAUAAGGUGAAAGUCCGAGUCAGCCUUUUUCCGUCCUAAAAAAAAAAAUCGAAAAGGAGCUCCACACCAUAUCACUAUUUUUAGGUUAUUUUGUUACCUAACUAACGCUCUUCCGACUUGUUGUAUCAUUUUUGAAUUCUAUUUCCUUUUAAGUUCACACAACGAACACCUUUAAGCAACGACAGAAAAAAAAAAAAUGGAACCGCCCAUGUCUUUACGUCAAUAUUCUUUUUUCAGCUAUCAACCACACGGACAGGGACAAAGACAAGGAAAACAGCAUUUUAGAAUCUAAAGCAGAAGGACA